CGGGUCAGUGUUAUGAAGAGGCUGACCUGGGGCGGGUGAUCCCAUCUGGUGGGAAGGCAGGCAGGCUUCCUGCAGGGGUUAGAGUUGACUUGCCCCAGACAGAUGAAGUGAGUCACUCACUGGGGAAGCAAGGUUCACACUUCCUCCUUCCUUUGGGCUUUGAUCUCAUCUGCCUGGAGGGAGGCGCAGCCUGGAUUACUGGGGGCCACCAUCCUCCUCUCCCAGUUGUGUCCUGUGGGUUCAGACUGGGAGGCCGGCUGUCUGCACCCCCCAACUCCUCCACAUACCCUUUCUGAGGCCCUGGAAGAUUAGCCCUGAGCCAACUACUGCCAAUCCUCCUCUUUUCACUGAGGAAGACUGACCCUGAGCUAACAUCCGCACCCAUCUUCCUCUACAUUAUAUGUGGAACGCCUGCCACAGCAUGACGUGCCAAGCGGUGCCAUGUCCGCACCUUGGAUCCGAACCAGUGAACCCCGGGCCACUGAAGCGGAACGUGUGCACUUAACCGCCGUGCCACCGGGCCAGCCCCCAUGUUCAGGUUUUUGUAUGGACAUAGAUUUUCAUCUCUUGGGUAUAUACCUAAGAGUGGAAUUGUUGGGUCAAUUUUUACAGUUGUUUGAAUUCUUUACAAUAAGCACAUAAUUGUUUUACAAGUCAAUAUUAUUUUAAAUUUCACUUUUCUAAAAAGAUGAGCUGAAUCCAUAGAAAGAAAUAAUGGACCAAAAUUUGAGAUAGGGAAGAGGUAGGACCACUGGCAACCAGCACUGAGGCCCCGGCUGGGUUGGUGUGUGAUUUUGACCAAAUUACCUCCCUUCUCAGGGCCACACCUGUGGAGUGGGGGUGGGGCAGGGGCAGGCGGGGCGGCAGCUGAAGGUUGAGCUGGAAUGAAGACAUCUUAGGCCCCUCCCAGCCCUGACGCCACAAGAUCUUGAGGCAGGCUGAGUUCCCACACCGGGUUAGAGAAACAGAUUAAUGAUCUGGUCUUUUGAGUUCUCUCCCUAAAAAGAUAAAUACCUCAAUAUCAUCAGUCUAGGCAACAAGGCCAAAUUCAACCCAGAAGUAUGUUUUAGGUCAGCAUCUCCAGUCCCUAAUUGAGAAGAAGAGAUAUUUAACUCGCUCUGCCAUUUAUCUCCCACUCUCACCCAGUGCUUCCCAAACUAAAAUGUGCAUACACAAUCCUGUGGAUCUUGUUAAUAUGCAAAUACUGAAGUGGGACCUGAGUCUGCAAAUCUACUGAGCUCCCAAAAUUUAGAUGCCAAAAUUUAGAUGCCAAGGCUCAAUCCCUCCUAGGUGAGGGAUGAAAUAGCACUAUGCG
RNAcentral lists this long non-coding RNA (1315 nucleotides) under Equus asinus (donkey). RNAcentral describes it as "lncRNA (ENSEASG00005037563.1)". Lineage: Eukaryota; Metazoa; Chordata; Mammalia; Perissodactyla; Equidae. The record is from RNAcentral.